AUGCCGUUUCGUCCGUGUCCUUUUGGAUGCGGUCGUUUCCUGUCUUCGGUUGACGGUCACGAGCGUUGUCUGCAGUGUCUGGGCGUCCAACACGCUGAGGCUGCGCUCGUGGAUGAUUCAUGCGUCUACUGUGGGCGUAUGAACAUGGCAGCACUGCGAUCGCGUCUCUCACUCCUCAAGGGGAGUGCAGCAGACCCCUCUGUCGCCACCCGUCCCGGUCUCUCUGGCUCGAGCAGAGGGCCGCCGGCUGGCGCUCUGGGAGAUCUGAGGAUCACAGUGAGAGCUUCUCCGCCGGGCCACGCCCCACGGACCUCUCACUCCUCACGCAGCGACUGUCCCGUGCAGCUGCCGAUUGAUUCUGCUGGGCCGUCUCACAGCGGUCCCAGCGUGUCUUUCAGUGCGCCGCCCGAAGACCAGAUGUCGAUUGCUGCAUCGGGGGAUGGGUUAUCGACCUCUGAGGAUGAAGGUUCGGCGGGGCUGCCCCCCUCGGGUGUUGUCGCUGCUGCCGAAUCGGACUUGGAGUUGUCGGCCAUGCUUGCCCGGGCAGCCGUGAGUAUCGGACUGGAGGUGACUACACCGCCCAGUCCCGAGCCCUCACGGCUGGAUGAUUGGUUUCUCGGCGCGGGACGCGGCUCACAACCUCGUUCUGCUCCGGUGCCUUUCUUCCCGGAGGUGCAUGAAGAGGUGACGAAGUCGUGGACGGCCCCUUUCACGGCCAGAAGCCGCUCUUCUCCCUCUUCCAUCCUCACCACCCUCGAUGGCGGGGCAGCCAGGGGGUAUGUGGAGGUUCCCCAGGUGGAGAGGGCGGUUGCGGUGCAACCCCAAGUUCAAUGGCGUGCUCGAGACUUCGGUGGCAGUCCAGGACGCCCCUGUCUUGCGCGAGGAGAUUGCUGUCCUCCUGGCGAAGGAUGCAAUCGAGCCGGUCCCUCCAGCCGAGAUGAGGACGGGGUUUUACAGCCCUUACUUCAUCGUGCCCAAGAAGAGCGGUGGCCUUCGACCUAUCCUGGAUCUGCGAGUCUUGAAUCGGGCCCUACACAAGCUCCCGUUCAGGAUGUUGACGCAGAAACGCAUUAUCAAAUGCGUCCAGCCCCAGGACUGGUUUGCAGCGAUCGACCUGAAAGACGCGUACUUUCAUGUCUCUAUCCUCCCUCGUCACAGACCGUUCCUGCGCUUUGCUUUCGAGGGUCAGGCAUGGCAGUACAAGGUCCUCCCCUUCGGGCUCUCCCUGUCCCCCCGUGUCUUCACGAAGGUCGCGGAGGGCGCCCUUGCCCCACUUUGGGAAGUGGGCAUCAGGAUCCUCAACUAUCUCGACGACUGGCUCAUUAUGGCCCGGUCCCGAGAAGAGUUGUGCGAUCACAGGGACUUCGUGCUUCGGCACCUCAGUCAGUUAGGGCUUCAGGUCAACCGGGAGAAGAGCAAGCUCUCCCCUGUGCAGAGAAUCUCUUAUCUCGGUAUGGAGUUAGACUCGGUGAGUAUGACGGCACGUCUCACCAGCGAGCGUGCCCACUCAGUGCUGAACUGCCUGAGUUCCUUCAGAGGCAGGACAGUGGUACCGCUGAAACACUUUCAGAGGCUCCUGGGGCAUAUGGCAUCCGCAGCCGCAGUCACGCCGCUCGGGUUGCUUCAUAUGAGACCACUUCAGCACUGGUUACACUCCCGAGUCCCGAGAUGGGCAUGGCGCCGCGGUACACAUCGUGUCACCAUCACACUGAUGUGUCGCCGCCUAUUCAGUCCUUGGUCGGACCUUGCCUUUCUACGGGCCGGCGUGCCCUUAGAACAAGUGUCCCGGCACGUUGUUGUCACAACAGAUGCCUCCAACUCGGGCUGGGGCGCGACAUGCAACGGGCAGGCAGCCUCAGGGUCCUGGACAGGACCUCGACUGCUUUGGCACAUCAACUGCCUGGAGUUGCUGGCAGUGCAUCUAGCUUUGCGACGGUUUCGUCCGCUAGUGCUGGACAAGCACGUGUUGGUCCGCACGGACAACACUGCGGCUGUUUCGUACAUCAACCGACAAGGCGGGUUACGAUCACGUCGCAUGUCUCAACUCGCCCGUCAUCUCCUCCUCUGGAGUCAGACGUGGCUCAAGUCGCUGCGCGCUGUCCACAUCCCGGGGGAGCUCAAUCAUGCAGCCGACGCGCUCUCACGACAGCUCACUUUCACUGGGGAAUGGCGACUCCAUCCCCAGACGGUCCAGCUGAUCUGGAGUCGAUUCGGGGAAGCCCAGGUAGACCUGUUUGCUUCCCACGAGUCCUCCCACUGCCAGCUGUACUAUUCCCUGUCCCAGGCCCCCCUGGGCACAGAUGCACUGGCACACAGCUGGCCUCGGGCUUUACGCAAGUAUGCAUUUCCCCCAGUGAGCCUGCUCGCACAGACACUCUGCAAGGUCAGGGAGGACGAGGAACAGGUCCUGUUGGUUGCGCCUUACUGGCCCACCCGGACCUGGUUUUCGGAACUCAUGCUCCUCGUGACAGCCCCUCCCUGGCGCAUCCCCCUGAGGAGAGACCUUCUCUCUCAGGGGCUUGGCACCAUUUGGCACCCGCGUCCAGAUCUCUGGAACCUCCACGUGUGGCUUCUAGACGGGACGUGGCAGACCUAAGUGAUCUGCCCCCAGCGGUGGUAGACACUAUCACUCAGGCUAGAGCCCCUUCUACGAGGCAGGCCUAUGCUCUGAAGUGGAGUCUGUUCACGAAUUGGUGUUCUUCUCACUGA
Molecule: long non-coding RNA, 2709 nt
Organism: Carassius auratus (goldfish)
Lineage: Eukaryota; Metazoa; Chordata; Actinopteri; Cypriniformes; Cyprinidae
Source: Ensembl